Long non-coding RNA from Papaver somniferum (opium poppy), 505 nucleotides. RefSeq lists it as uncharacterized. NCBI's taxonomy places the organism in Eukaryota, Viridiplantae, Streptophyta, Magnoliopsida, Ranunculales, Papaveraceae. The record is from RefSeq and is a predicted model, not a curated record. The transcript is spliced from 3 exons.
AGCAGUUAAGAAAGAGGUUUAUCCACUAUUGCUCCAGGGAGGGCUUGCCGGUGAUAGACGGUGUGUAGUCCCAGCUUGAGGAUUUGGUUUUAGUGCACAACAGAUAUGUGAAGUUAUCCUAGACAACACCUUAACCUUCCUGCUCACAAGGUAAUGGUUGCAACUGUUCGUUGUGAAGAGAUUGCCAAUGAAAAGCUCAGUCACUUCACCUCAGAUGAGGGUUGGUUAAGCUGGCUUUGUGUCAGGCUUCGGAGAAAACUUAGCUCUAUGUAGUAUCUGGAAGUAUCUGCAAGUUUUGAGUAAGCUUCUAUGUAGUAUUUGAGCUGAACUUAUAGUGUUUAGUAAAAAUGAACUGAACUUGGUCUAUGUAUUCCAUUUGGUACUUGAAGAAUUUGUUCUUUUUGAUGUGAAUUGUUGUAUGAAUUGAUUGAAUGUUAAUAUGAAUUGAUUGAGAAACUAUUGUUGAAUUUGGAGGGAUGGAAUGGAAGUGUAGGCAGGUUAUUUA